CCGGCCUCCGCUCCGUUUCCCCAUUCCACCACCGCAACCACCCUUCCACCGUGCAUCCCGAGCCACCUCCACCAUACGCCGCCUCCAGCCGUGUGCCACCGUCGCCUUAGCCGCCGCCGCGUCGCUCCGUCUUCACCUCUCGCCUCGCAGCGCCGUGCAGCACCUCGGUCACCGUUGUUCAUCGCCGGAAACCCACCGGAACGUGGUACCUCUCGGUCGCCGGUCCUGCCGGCCCUCGGCCGCGGCUCCGCCAUGGUCGGGCGUCGUCGGACCGCCGUUCCCGUCGCCUCCCGUGUCGGCCGCCGCCAUCCUUUCCGCCGCCGGUCGCCUCCCCAUGGUCGUCCCGUCGCCGGCGCUCCUCGCGUGUAGUUUCCGUCGUUUCGGAAGUCCGCGGUCGCGAG
Oryza sativa Japonica Group (Japanese rice) is the source of this 401-nucleotide long non-coding RNA. RefSeq lists it as uncharacterized. Lineage: Eukaryota; Viridiplantae; Streptophyta; Magnoliopsida; Poales; Poaceae. The record is from RefSeq and is a predicted model, not a curated record.